This 217-nucleotide ribosomal RNA is filed under the name uncultured fungus. RNAcentral's name for it is "partial small subunit ribosomal RNA". The stretch from base 23 to 217 matches the Rfam family "Eukaryotic small subunit ribosomal RNA", at positions 667 to 864 of the family's 1831-position model. Lineage: Eukaryota; Fungi. The record is from RNAcentral.
GGACUGGUUGGAUGGUCUGCCCUUUGGGUAUGAACUGUCCUGGCUGGUUCUUACCUUCUGGAUACCGCCAUGCUUACUUUGUAAGUGUGGUUGGGAUUCCAGAACAUUUACCUUGAAAAAAUUAGAGUGUUCAAAGCAGGCCUUAGCCUGAAUACAUUAGCAUGGAAUAAUAAAAUAGGACUUUGGUUUUAUUUUGUUGGUUUCUAGGACUGAAGUA